CGGGUGAGUAACGCGUGGGUAACCUGCCUCAUACAGGGGGAUAACGAUUGAAACGAUUGCUAAUACCGCAUAAGCGCACAGUACCACAUGGUACAGUGUGAAAAACUCCGGUGGUAUGAGAUGGACCCGCGUCUGAUUAGCUAGUUGGUGAGGUAACGGCCCACCAAGGCAACGAUCAGUAGCCGACCUGAGAGGGUGACCGGCCACAUUGGGACUGAGACACGGCCCAG
This 230-nucleotide ribosomal RNA is filed under the name uncultured bacterium. RNAcentral describes it as "partial 16S ribosomal RNA". It matches the Rfam family "Bacterial small subunit ribosomal RNA", at positions 103 to 334 of the family's 1533-position model. The record is from RNAcentral.